This 293-nucleotide ribosomal RNA is filed under the name uncultured bacterium. RNAcentral describes it as "partial 16S ribosomal RNA". It matches the Rfam family "Archaeal small subunit ribosomal RNA", at positions 455 to 747 of the family's 1478-position model. The record is from RNAcentral.
GUGCCAGCCGCCGCGGUAAUACCGGCAGCUCGAGUGAUGUCCAAUAUUAUUGGGCCUAAAGCGUCCGUAGCUGGCCGCGCAAGUCCGUCGGGAAAUCCACUCGCUUAACGAGUGGGCGUCCGGCGGAAACUGUGCGGCUUGGGACCGGAAGAUCCAAGGGGUACGUCCGGGGUAGGAGUGAAAUCCCGUAAUCCUGGACGGACCACCGAUGGCGAAAGCACCUGGGAAGGACGGAUCCGACAGUGAGGGACGGAAGCUAGGGUCUCGAACCGGAUUAGAAACCCGUGUAGUCC